AUGAUUAUUUAAAGCAAUCAUAAUGAUUUUUUUUUCUUCUUUUUGUGGUCGUGGUAUUUAAACUUUUGCAAUUACUGCGCAAUGUCAUCUAGCAAGUGUAUUCUUACGAACCAUAACUACUAAUUGACCGUCCUCGUGCGCAGAAAUCUAAUUGUAAGGAGUUCAGUAAUUUAACUUGUCACUGUUUCUUCUUCAUAACAUAACAUAAAAGGUAAUGAAUAAAUAAGAAGCUAACAUGACAACAACAAUAACAAUCAGCCUGAUCGGACAAAAAUAAAUUAGAAUUAUGAAUUCCAAAGGCGAUUUUAGUUGGAUAUCUGAAGACACGCACCACGCAGGAGUUUAUAUGUGUAAUGCGUGUAUACAUACAUGAUUUACGAUAUAAAAUCCAUAUAUAUGUAUUAAAUGAGCUAGGAAAACUGGCUGUACAAGUGUAUAGCUUUAAGGAGUAUGCGAAGCCUGUCACUCGAGUUUGGCCGAGGUUGGAAUGCACUAUCUUUAAAUACAUAUACAUCCUAGUUAAAAGUCACGUCACUAAAAAAUUGUUAUCCAAUUCUAUUGUCAACCUGACUGAAGCAAACUCUACAAAAACUAAAUAAGUGUGUUACGUAAAAAUGAAGUAUAUAUGUAAGUACUUUGAUGACAAUCGCGGGUUUUAAACCCCGUGGAAGAGGAAUCUUAUGAUAAUAUCAAUAUUAAUAUUAUAGUAUUAGUGUUAGUAUAAUGGGAAAUGAUUUUAAAACAGAUGUUCUUUAAGAGCGAUGACGUCAUUAUGACUAAUAUUUAAAGUUCAAACAUUUAAUUGUUGGUAUUAUGUGAUGGUGUGUUUGAAUAAUAAAAAAAUUUUUCAUGAGGAUAUUGACAUUAAUAAACGAAUAUUUAAAUAGCAGGUAUCCAUGAAAUAAAAAUAUUUUAAAAUUACGUAGAAAACAGAGUUUAGAUCAUUGAAGCGUUGAAUUCACUGUAGAAAGUUUUCACGAUAACGGUUUUGAAACUGACGGUUAAAGGUGUCUAUACCUAAACCGAAAGUCUCAUGUCUACUACACUUGAUAUGUCGUAUGUAUAUGUAUAGUUUUAUUUACUAUUUACUGUGUAUUAGAUAUUGUCAAUUACAUUCCAGCAAUAGGUGACGCGGUUAUAUAGCCUUGAUAAAAAUUACAUGUCAAAAAUAUACUUCUAGAUAUUUUUCAGAUAAAUAUUAUUGAAUUCAUUUUGACAGGAAAUUUUUGCACCAAUUUUUCAGUGAUAUCGUAAUAUAAUUUUGAAAAAAGGAUUAACAGAAGAAUAAUUUUUUAAGCAAAUAUUACAUUAAUAUCUUUAAAAUAAAUAAAAGAUUGGAUAAUAAUUAAGCGAGGUGAUACUCUGGGAAGAUAAAAAUUUAAUGAAAGAAUUAUCUGUUUAAUAUAAUGUGUAAUAUGAUUAUGAGAGUUAUAAAGCUCAGUAGAGUUUUAGUAUAAGAAAAAUAAAGAUUGUGAUAUGUUAAA
This 1484-nucleotide long non-coding RNA is filed under the name Cotesia glomerata. Its description in RNAcentral is "uncharacterized LOC123261322, transcript variant X5". Lineage: Eukaryota; Metazoa; Arthropoda; Insecta; Hymenoptera; Braconidae. The record is from RNAcentral.